UACGGAAGGCAGCAGUGGGGAAUAUUGCACAAUGGGCGAAAGCCUGAUGCAGCUAUGCCGCGUGUAUGAAGAAGGCCUUAGGGUUGUAAAGUACUUUCAUCGGGGAGGAAAAAACAAAACUAAUAAUUUUAUUUCUUGACGUUACCCGAAAAAGAAGCACCGGCUAGCUCCGUGCCAGCAGCCGCGGUAAUACGGAGGGUGGCUAGCGUUAAUCAGAAAUUAACUGGGCGUAAAGAGCACGUAGGUGGGUUUUUUUAAAGUUCAGAUGUGAAAUCCCUGGGCUUAACCUAAGGAACUGCAUUUUGAAACUAGAAAUAACUAGAGUAAUCGUAGAGGGAGGUAGAAUUCUAGGUGUAGCGGUGAAAUGCGUAGAUAUCUGGAGGAAUACCUGUGGCGAAAGCGGCCUCCUAAACGAAAUACUGACACUGAGGGUGCGAAAAGCGUGGGGAGCAAAACAGGAUUAGAUACC
Molecule: ribosomal RNA, 469 nt
Filed under: uncultured bacterium
Lineage: Bacteria
Description: bacterial SSU rRNA
Rfam family: Bacterial small subunit ribosomal RNA
Source: RNAcentral